UAGAUACGUUGAUAGGACACAGUGCCUGUAAAUUGUGUCUUUUUAGGAAUUUUUUUUGUAUCAAGUAGAUACUUUGAUAAGACACAAUGUCUGUAAAUUGUGUCUUUUUAGUAAAAAUUUAGUUUUUAUCAGUACGUUGAUAGGACACAGUGUCUGUAAAUUGUGUCUUUUUAGUAAAAAUUAGUUUGUAUCAGUAGAUACAUUGAUAGGACACAAUGUCCGUAAAUUGUGUCUUUUUAGUAUAAUUUAGCCUGUAUCAAGUAGAUACAUUGAUAGGACGCAGUGUCUGUAAAUUGUGUCUUUUAAGUUUACUUUGAUAUGUAUCAAGUAGAUACAUCGUUAGGACACAAUGUCUGUAAAUUGUGUAUUUUAGGAUAAGGGCAUUCGCGGGAUGCAAUGUCUGUAUAUAGAGUCGUAAGUUUUAUCAUUUGCAUAUGUAGGAUUAAAGAUGAUGCAGGUUUACAGCUCCAUAAGAGCUUCAUACGUCAUGGCGGUAUCUGCUCCCAAAAGUUGAGAUGUUACACUAUUAUUAACAAAUUUAUAGUCAAGGGGAGAUAACUCUAAAUUAAUUGACUUUUCAAAAAAUUCAAUUUCAAUAAUUGAUGACAUUUGUCUUUUCAUUAUUACAUAAUAUGCUCAUUGGUUCAG
RNAcentral lists this long non-coding RNA (648 nucleotides) under Mytilus galloprovincialis (Mediterranean mussel). Lineage: Eukaryota; Metazoa; Mollusca; Bivalvia; Mytilida; Mytilidae. The record is from RNAcentral.